RNAcentral lists this ribosomal RNA (430 nucleotides) under uncultured bacterium. RNAcentral's name for it is "partial 16S ribosomal RNA". It matches the Rfam family "Bacterial small subunit ribosomal RNA", at positions 29 to 506 of the family's 1533-position model. The record is from RNAcentral.
AACGAACGCUGGCGGCAGGCUUAACACAUGCCAGUCGAACGCCCCGCCAGGGGAGUGGCAGACGGGUGAGUAACGCGUGGGAACAUACCCUUUUCUACGGAAUAGCUCUGGGAAACUGGAAUUAAUACCGUAUACGCCCUACGGGGGAAAGAUUUAUCGGGGAAGGAUUGGCCCGCGUUGGAUUAGCUAGUUGGUGGGGUAAAGGCCUACCAAGGCGACGAUCCAUAGCUGGUCUGAGAGGAUGAUCAGCCACAUUGGGACUGAGACACGGCCCAAACUCCUACGGGAGGCAGCAGUGGGGAAUAUGGGACAAUGGGCGCAAGCCUGAUCCAGCCAGGCCGCGUGAGUGAUGAAGGCCUUAGGGUUGUAAAGCUCUUUCACCGAUGAAGAUAAUGACGGUAGUCGGAGAAGAAGCCCCGGCUAACUUCGU